GACGAACGCUGGCGGCGUGCUUAACACAUGCAAGUCGAACGUGAUUUUUGUGGAAAUUCUUUCGGGAAUGGAAAUGAAAUGAAAGUGGCGAACGGGUGAGUAACACGUGAGCAACCUACCUUACACAGGGGGAUAGCCGUUGGAAACGACGAUUAAUACCGCAUGAGACCACAGAAUCGCAUGAUAUAGGGGUCAAAGAUUUAUCGGUGUAAGAAGGGCUCGCGUCUGAUUAGCUAGUUGGAAGGGUAAAGGCCUACCAAGGCGACGAUCAGUAGCCGGUCUGAGAGGAUGAACGGCCACAUUGGAACUGAGACACGGUCCAAACUCCUACGGGAGGCAGCAGUGGGGAAUAUUGCACAAUGGGGGGAACCCUGAUGCAGCGACGCCGCGUGAGCGAAGAAGGUUUUCGAAUCGUAAAGCUCUGUCCUAUGAGAAGAUAAUGACGGUAUCAUAGGAGGAAGCCCCGGCUAAAUACGUGCCAGCAGCCGCGGUAAUACGUAUGGGGCGAGCGUUGUCCGGAAUUAUUGGGCGUAAAGGGUACGUAGGCGGUUUUUUAAGUCAGGUGUGAAAGCGUGAGGCUUAACCUCAUUAAUCACUUGAAACUGGAAGACUUGAGUGAAGGAGAGGAAAGUGGAAUUGCUAGUGUAGCGGUGAAAUGCGUAGAUAUUAGGAGGAAUACCGGUGGCGAAGGCGACUUUCUGGACUUUUACUGACGCUGAGGUACGAGAGCGUUGGGGAGCAAACAGG
Molecule: ribosomal RNA, 747 nt
Filed under: uncultured Parvimonas sp.
Lineage: Bacteria; Bacillati; Bacillota; Tissierellia; Tissierellales; Peptoniphilaceae
Description: bacterial SSU rRNA
Rfam family: Bacterial small subunit ribosomal RNA
Source: RNAcentral